Molecule: long non-coding RNA, 1859 nt
Filed under: Homo sapiens (human)
Lineage: Eukaryota; Metazoa; Chordata; Mammalia; Primates; Hominidae
Description: non-protein coding GAS1RR:3
Source: RNAcentral
GCGUCUGCGGCCUGUCAAAAACUGGCGCUUUUUUCCUCCCCUUUCCGUGGAGAGACUAUCAACUCCAUCUGUCACAAAAAUUAAGGCUAAAUCUCCUCUCCAGAAGCAGAGGGAGCCGGGGCUCCGACGCGCUCAGCGUCGGGCUGUCUGCCUCUCCCUAGAGGCCAAGUGAAUUUGAAAUGGCAAAAGUCACAGCCGGAGGCCCAGCACUAGGAGAUUCCUCCGGCUGCGGGAAAUCUUCCUGUACCUGCUGAAGCUGCUGCGUUCCUCAGAGGCGCUUGGUCUGCCGUGGGAAGCUGCACCUCUGCAGUCCCCAAAACCAAAAUCAAACCUUAAAAGAGCCAGACUGAGAAGCCAGUCACCACGUAAGACAUCUGGACCACCUUCAGACUCGCAUGCUGUGAGGAAGCCCAUGCUUACUAUGUGUAGAGGAUACAUGGAGAAGGAAAGAGAUGCCUGGCCAGCUCCCUGCUGUUUCAGCCAUGUGAGUGAAGAAGGCACCAGACUUGUGAGUGGAGACACUAACUUGGAUGUCCAGCCCAGCUGAACCUUCAGGCAGAGGUGCUGAGCAGCUAAUUGGAGGGGAUAGUAUGAGCCUCCAAAGAUUAGGGAAGAAAAUUGCAGUUGAAGAAAACUUGCUUUGGUUCAAUGCAAAAAUAAUGGGAUGAAUGGCAUGCUGAAAUAUCAUAUGACUUACGAAAAUGAUGAAUGGUUUAUUGAAUCUACAUAUGUGGAACCCAUGAAUGGGAGUCGGAGAAGGGGGCAACUGUAUACGCAAAAAGCUAUCAUAAUUGCCAAAAUAGUGAUAACAAUGUUGAAACACUACUGGGAUUACUACUGUUAAUGACUACCAGUGAUCAAGCACCUCCCCUGCCCCAGUGUUUGCCUGCCUUGUUUGAAGACACGAAAAAAUGUACACAAAAUGAUUUAGAACUGUUGAACUUUUCAGAAAAUAAUUUAAAAUCAUCUACCUCAUAACUAAAGGAAAUCAAAGCAAAUGGCCUUAAGAGUGGCAUCCAGUGGACCGUCCUCUGAAAAGUGACCCACAAUUCUGCAUGAAUCUUUCCAGGACACUGAAUUGGAGCCAGCUGAUGUAAGGAGCUUACCUUGGUUGCCACCUUCUGGUCUCUGUUUGAGGAACAACUGCAUGUGAUUAAGGGUAACAGAUACAGAAUUUGUGUUAAGCCCAGGAUGUAAUUUGUUGAAUGAGUAGCAAUUGACUUGAAAAUUGGAUGGAUGGGGAUUGUGUUUCUUUACUCUCUCUCUCUUUUCUUUCUCCCUCUCAAUACGGCUAGAUUAAAUCAUCUUUAGUCUAGUCAAAUCAGUGCUUGCUGUUGUUAAGAAGGAUAUUCUUGAGGUAUAGUACUUCAGGGAUGCUAAUUGGGAUUUGAGCAAGAUGAAAUUUCUACCCAGGUGUGUGCAUCGUAUACUGGAGAUGGCAAAAACUGGUUCCAAAUGAGGGUGUGUUUGUGUUCCUAGGCAUGUUCCUAUAGGGGCCAAAAAGAUGCAAAAUCUUCUUUUCUAAAGCUUUUGGUGUUCUCAAGCUUGUCUACACAAUGGAAUCACCUGGAGAAUUUGGAAAACCAAAAAUACUGAUACCACUGAUCCUACCCAACAGAUUCUAUUUUAAUUGGUAUGGAGUAUGGCCUCAGCACUGAUAUUUUUUAAAGUUUCUGAGGCGAUCCUAAUGUGCAGCAAAGCACCGUCAAGCCCCCUCUCUCUGAGGAGGCACCAGCUGCAAGCAUGUUUUACACCAAUAUGUUUGCUGAAUAUAAACAUCCCAGUGCAAACUCUUGCACCCCAGAACUCUGGGCUGCUUGUGGACAGUCUUUGGCAAAGUCUGAAUUUAUAAACUGAUA